UUGAUGGAGAGUUUGAUCCUGGCUCAGGACGAACGCUGGCGGCGUGCUUAACACAUGCAAGUCGAGCGAAGCACUUUGAGUAGCUUGCUACUCAAUUUGACUGAGCGGCGAACGGGUGAGUAACACGUGGGUG
Molecule: ribosomal RNA, 133 nt
Filed under: Bacillota bacterium
Lineage: Bacteria; Bacillati; Bacillota
Description: partial 16S ribosomal RNA
Rfam family: Bacterial small subunit ribosomal RNA
Source: RNAcentral